Molecule: long non-coding RNA, 4164 nt
Organism: Brachypodium distachyon (stiff brome)
Lineage: Eukaryota; Viridiplantae; Streptophyta; Magnoliopsida; Poales; Poaceae
Exons: 3
Source: RefSeq, a predicted model, not a curated record
CGCGCACGCUUCCCGAGCUAGGGUUAGAACGAGACCCAACAAAGUCCCAAACCACAACCCGCCGCCGCCGCUUUCAUGCCUGCCUGCCUCUCAACCCUAGCUAGGGUUUCCGCCGCGCCGCCGCCGCUUCCCGAGUCCCGAGCUAGGGUUAGUGUGCCUAUAUAUAGAACGAGACCCAACGAAGUCCCAAACCAUCCCGAGAAUCACCCAUUCCUACCGCCGCCGCUUUCCUGCGCCUGCUGCCUCUCUCGCUCCCAGCGCGACCGACCGAAACCCUAGGGCUCCGGCGCGCCGCCGCCCAUAAACCAUGGUCGCCGACGCCCGAGAUCCGCGCACACCUAGCUCUCCCCUGCCCAACUCCGCCUCCACCUUGCUCGACGACCGCCCUGCCGUCCACGAUCUCGAUCCGGGAAUUGAAGAAUCUACAGGAGGCAACUCACCUGGAAUUUACAGGAGGCCUGCAGACCUAGCUUUCUGGCGGCACUCGAAGCCCCUAGUGGCGAAUGGCGAUGGCAACUGCAGGCCGUCGAUCUAGGGACACCGUUUGUGUCCCUCUUCUUCUGCGGCUUCGUCCCUGACCAGUACCACGACGGAUGAGGUCCGGUGAGCAGCAAACUAGAACAGGGAAGGAGAUCGGAAUGCCUGCUUGUCGUCAUGAGGCCGUGCCAUGCCAUGACGACGAACAAGUAAGGCCGCAUGUGGUGCUCCUGCUCCUCUGAUCGAUUCACUUCCAUCCAAUCGCAUCGCCGCUUCCUGCUUGGCAAGGUACGUACGGCCAUAUCUAAUCCCACGCCGGCCAUGUCUUUGUCUCGUCUAAUUAAUUGAGGUCCUGAACCAACUAUAUAUGAAGAGGACACUCUUAAUGAAUGAUCGAUGUGUCUUAAGAAAUUUCUCUUGUUUCAUUCCUAGGCCCCCCUCAGAUUUCUCUUUUGUCUUUGCUUGCUAUGUAAAUUGUAUGUUGCCUCUGCUUUUCUACUCUUGGGAUGCAGAAAGCUACUUUAAGUCCUUUAAUUUAAGUUUCUUUGUGUAAUCUAAUUAUUAUUGCUUCCUGUCCGUGGAGUUAAUAUUGUGUCGAUGCAGUACAACAAUACCUUACUUUUCUCUUGUAUAUAUCCAUGCAUGUUGUGUUGCUACAGUAAGUCCUUUAAUAUAAGUUUAUUUGUGUAAUCUAAUUAUUAUUGCUUCGUGUCCGUGGAGUAAAUAUUGUGUUGAUGUAGUAUAACAAUACCUUACUUUUCUCUUGUAUAUAUCCAUGCAUGUUGUGUACGUGGGAUAAGGACAUAUAUAGUUGUAUGUGGUUUUUGGGUAAGAUAGGCUGGGGGAGCCGAAAAACAUGCGUUGAGAGUAGGGCUAUAGCAGAAAAAGAAUGUACAUGAAAAAUUAGAUUUGUAAAAACAAUAUAUACAUUUGUUUUUUUUCUUACUUGGCUGACAAAAGCUUUACUUCUCAACCAAAUGCUAAAACUUCACCAACGCAUACCUGUCAUCGGACCGGUUUUGCAGUCAACGGAGGUGUGUGCGGGGGUGCGGAGCGUGCCGGCGGGAGACGGGUGGUGCAGGGGCUGAGAACUCGAACUUGGGCUAGGAAUUAAGACCCUGACAAAAUUGUAGAAGUGUACGUAGUUAUUCAUGCAUGGACUGAGUGAGUAACUAGUAACCAGAUCUAGUUACUCAUUGACAAAAAUUUGAAGUUUCUCUUGCUCUCAUCCUAAUUCCUACGAGCUGUUAAAUAUGCAAGUUUGAGGAUUGUAUUAGGGAAAUAAGUAUACUAAACUAGAAAAGAGGAAAAAAAUAUGUUGACUGUCCGUGGUUCACACAUGCUCUUUUGGUCUUAUUUAUUUUUCUCUUAUAUUCCUAAUGGUUAUGCAUUCCUCACAACCGUGAAAAACACCGUAUUGAUACUUUAAUAUGAAAACAUUGUUACUGUUUAUUCAUUUGAUUGUACUACAUUUUUGUAUUUGUUUACUGAUCUUAUUAUUAGUAUAAAAGUUAUCUUUUUUUUUUGCUUUGGUUUUUUGAACCACUUCUUCAUGCUUACCCGAUGUAAGAGGUGUCUUGUGUAUAAAUCACAAUUGUGGCAUAAUGUAAGAUUUAUGGCCAAACCGUUUUUUUAAUAUAUGUUGAAUAAUCAUCUAGGGGCAGGAGAGUUAGUGGGCAUAUUGCACGCAUUCAACAUAACCUUGGUAAGAAAGACAUGCACAAAAUUAUUAUGUUUUUUCUUUUCAUAUUUGUAAUUGUGAGAUAAGAUACGAGCUAUAAUGUUAGUUAAUUCCUUUCUCAAGUAUGAGUUCAGAAUGAGUCGUCCUUACUGAACAAUUAAUGCUUGAACUAUGAGUGCAAAGGAGAUUUCAUAGGAUUUGUGUAUGGAGAAUUGAGAAACCGAAAGAAAUGUUUUCCACAGAGCUGGUGAAAUAAGGAUCAAGUGUCUACAACCUCAGUAGAGCGCAUCAUAUAUAUUUUCAUUACACGAAACCUCUACUGACUUGAGAAAUGAGGAGGUCCUCCAAAAUUAGGAAAUGGUUGUUCAUGGGUUUUUCCAAAAUGUGGCCCUCCAAGAUCAUGUGCUCAGCACCAGAUGAGUCAUCUCAUGGUGCACCAUUUUAGAAAUUGCCAUCAAACAUCCAUUUCCUGAUUUUGGAGGACCUGACCAUUUCAGAUCAGUAGGAGUCUCCUGUAAUGAAAAUUUGGUGUCCUCUGCUGACAAUGGUAGACACCUUGAGUAUGGUUUCACCAGCACUAUGUCGAAAUUGUCUCUUUAGGAUCCUCAAUUUUCCAUACAUAAAUCCUAUAUAUGAUCUCCAUUGCACUCAUAGCUCAAGCAUUGUUCAACAACGGCAAUCGACCCUUUCUGAUCUGACUGUUACUUGAGAAAAAAAGCAGCGAGCACAUCAACACUAAAGAAAAAACAGUUUUGUGUAUGUCUUUCUUACGGCCAAGGCUGUGUCGAAUGCGUGCAAUAUACCCACUGGCUCUGAUCGUACAACUAGAUGACUUUUCAACAUAUACUGAAGAAACGUACUGUUCGGCCAUAAAUCUUACAUUAUCUGGCAAUUGUGAUCUAUAUGCACAAGACGCCUGCUAGAUCGCGUAAGAAUGAAAAGCAGUUCGAAACCAAAGCAAGAAAAUAAUUUUGUGAAUAGUGGAAUCAAUAAACAGAUGCAAAAGGCAUGUCAAUAACGUUUUCUACAAAAAGUAAUUUUGUGAAUUCUGCAAAAUUUGCUUCCGGUGAUAGAUGCCCGAACAGAAGCAUAGAAUUUGCUUCCGGCACAUGCUCUUUCAUAGGUGUUUUUUGUUUCUUGUAUGAUCUCUCGUGACAGCAACACCUAGUUUUCUCUGAAUUGCACAAUAAUACACCCACAACUUCGCUAAGAUCCUCGACAUUUUCUUGUGUUACGUCUUUGCUUUUCUCUUGUUUUCGACAUGACGGCCUGCAGUACAUCGUCAUCAAGUGCAGCCUCGCCUUCAUUGUGGCGUUCCUCAUCAACGUCGCUGUGGUUAAUCCUCGCGGGAUCUAUCUGUCGUUAGAACAAUCUCUCCCCUGCCGAUGCCAUCAAGUGCGGCGACCUUACUGACCGUCUGCUGUUGAAAUGUUCAAUCCAGCUUCAAGAGCACCUUGCAGCAUGUUAUGCCGACGCAUCUGAUGCUAGAGAGUUCCAAUUUUGUUGUUGAAAACUUGGAGAGUUCGAAACGACAUAAAUAAAGACUCUUCUUAGACACAUAUGAUGAUCAAAUGGGUGCGGACGGUGGUGAUCGCUUGGAUCUUCGGUGCGCCGCUCCUCUUCGUCGUCGUCUUCACGCUCAUGUCCGCCUAGCUACCUUGUCGCCGUGGUGUACCUGACGUUCAGGAGUGGUCACAUAUGUCCCGGUGGCGGUGACGGAGACCAGACGGCGCUGUUCAGGAAGGACCUAGCGGAGGCAUCCAUGUAGCACAUGAUUUUGAUGAGAGUGAGAGAUGGUCGCUGGUUGUGUUUUAGUAUAUGUUAUUGUGAGAUUGGCUUGCAUUUUAUGUGCCUUCGCUUAUGCUGCUGUUGUCCAUGUGCUUGGUGAUAUGCUACAAAAUAGUUAAUACUUCCACGUCUACAGUUUCCAGUUGCUUGAAUUGUUUGGAAAUCUUGGUCAACUAGGAUUGGCUUAUCAUCGUAAAAUUGCAUUCUUCAGAGCGUAA